This 670-nucleotide ribosomal RNA is filed under the name uncultured Pelagibacterales bacterium. RNAcentral describes it as "bacterial SSU rRNA". It matches the Rfam family "Bacterial small subunit ribosomal RNA", at positions 138 to 840 of the family's 1533-position model. The record is from RNAcentral. Lineage: Bacteria; Pseudomonadati; Pseudomonadota; Alphaproteobacteria; Candidatus Pelagibacterales.
UUGGAAUAACACGGGGAAACUUGUGCUAAUACCGAAAAAGCCCUUACGGGGAAAGUUUUAACGCCGAAAGAUGAGCCCGCACUUGAUUAGCUAGUUGGUAAGGUAAAAGCUUACCAAGGCAAUGAUCAAUAGCUGUUCUUAGAGGAAGACCAGCCACAUUGGGACUGAGACACGGCCCAGACUCCUACGGGAGGCAGCAGUGAGGAAUCUUGCACAAUGGGGGAAACCCUGAUGCAGCGAUGCCGCGUGAGUGAAGAAGGCCUUUGGGUUGUAAAACUCUUUCGUCGGGGAAGAAAAUGACUGUACCCGAAUAAGAAGGUCCGGCUAACUUCGUGCCAGCAGCCGCGGUAAUACGAAGGGACCUAGCGUAGUUCGGAAUUACUGGGCUUAAAGAGCUCGUAGGUGGUUAAAAAAGUUGAUGGUGAAAUCCCACGGCCUAACCUUGGAACUGCCAUCAAAACUUUUUAGCUAGAGUGUGAUAGAGGUAAGUGGAAUUUCUAGUGUAGAGGUGAAAUUCGUAGAUAUUAGAAAGAACACCAAAUGCGAAAGGCAACUUACUGGGUCACUACUGACACUGAGGAGCGAAAGCAUGGGUAGCGAAGAGGAUUAAAUACCCUCGUAGUCCAUGCUGGUAAACGAUGUGUGCUAGACGUUGGAAAUAUAUUUUUUC